GACGAACGCUGGCGGCGUGCCUAAUACAUGCAAGUUGAGCGCUGAAGGUUGGUACUUGUACCGACUGGAUGAGCAGCGAACGGGUGAGUAACGCGUGGGGAAUCUGCCUUUGAGCGGGGGACAACAUUUGGAAACGAAUGCUAAUACCGCAUAAAAACUUUAAACACAAGUUUUAAGUUUGAAAGAUGCAAUUGCAUCACUCAAAGAUGAUCCCGCGUUGUAUUAGCUAGUUGGUGAGGUAAAGGCUCACCAAGGCGAUGAUACAUAGCCGACCUGAGAGGGUGAUCGGCCACAUUGGGACUGAGACACGGCCCAAACUCCUACGGGAGGCAGCAGGAGGGAAUCUUCGGCAAUGGACGAAAGUCUGACCGAGCAACGCCGCGUGAGUGAAGAAGGUUUUCGGAUCGUAAAACUCUGUUGGUAGAGAAGAACGUUGGUGAGAGUGGAAAGCUCAUCAAGUGACGGUAACUACCCAGAAAGGGACGGCUAACUACGUG
RNAcentral lists this ribosomal RNA (497 nucleotides) under uncultured bacterium. Its description in RNAcentral is "partial 16S ribosomal RNA". It matches the Rfam family "Bacterial small subunit ribosomal RNA", at positions 28 to 507 of the family's 1533-position model. The record is from RNAcentral.